CAAUUCACAGGAAUAGAAAUGACUUUGUGUGAAACACUGACGUCACACAAUAAAUAGAAACGAUAGCGAUGUAGAAAAUGCGAAAUGAAAAAAAUGUCGGAGAUGGAUGCUUCUCUUUGUGAUUCAUAGUGUUUACGAAUGUGUCACAGUGUGUCACAGAGAACAUUCGUGUGCAGCUCAAAACAUUGUCUCUCUGUUUAGUCUGUAUAUCUGCGCACGCACACAAAGAGGAGCAAAAAACGUUAUUCAUUGCAGUGCACACAAAUCGAACUCUUUCUCAAUACUCUCUCUCAUUCGACUGUCUCAACAGUUUAUAUGCUGUACAUUUCAGCGACCGAACUGAAACAUUGUAUAUAUCACUGCUGUCAAGAGCAAAUGAACAAAAAACGAAAACAAACAACGAAAGAAUAUUGCGAAUUUCACAGCGAAAAUUUCAGAAAAUAAAUGGUGAAAUUAUUCAGCACGAUGCAACGACCGAUUGGAAUUGUGUCAAAGAAAUGCGGUGUUUCCACUCGAUUCACCAGCUACGUAUUUUCAAUCACAGACAUGGACAAAUGGGAGAGUGAUGAACGCAAACUGAUCGAUGAAAUGGAAAAACGAAUCAUAUUUCUCAAAUUCACGGUCCGUGUUGCACCACUGUUGACACAACAACAAAAUGAAUUGGAAGUGCUUGCGCUGACAGAGCAAAUGAGGGUUCCUUGCCACGUUGCUGCUAUCACAAUUGCAGCAGAAAGAACCUACGUUACACGACUGUCAAGAAGAGAAAUGGUGGAAUUUCUACAAUGUGUAUUGGGUGAUUUGGAUCACAUCAUCGACUUUUGGCUCCCAUAGUCGCUCAUUAAUAUUUCAAAAUGGAACAUCACAAAAAGUGAAAUUAUAAUUCUUAUUAUUUCAAUAAAAAAAAAUCAUUCCAUUUCCCAGACAAAA
Sitodiplosis mosellana (orange wheat blossom midge) is the source of this 927-nucleotide long non-coding RNA. RefSeq lists it as uncharacterized. The record is from RefSeq and is a predicted model, not a curated record. Lineage: Eukaryota; Metazoa; Arthropoda; Insecta; Diptera; Cecidomyiidae. The transcript has 2 exons.